This 460-nucleotide ribosomal RNA is filed under the name uncultured bacterium. RNAcentral describes it as "partial 16S ribosomal RNA". It matches the Rfam family "Bacterial small subunit ribosomal RNA", at positions 338 to 795 of the family's 1533-position model. The record is from RNAcentral.
CCUACGGGUGGCAGCAGUGAGGAAUAUUGGUCAAUGGGCGCUAGCCUGAACCAGCAAAGCCGCGUGAAGGAAGACUGCCCUCUGGGUUGUAAACUUCUUUUAUAUGGGAAUAAAGUGUAGUAUGUAUACUGCUUUGCAUGUCCCUUAUGAAUAAGGAUCGGCUAACUCCGUGCCAGAAGCCGCGGUAAUACGGAGGAUCCGAGCGUUAUACGGAUUUAUUGGGUGUAAAGGGAGCGUAGGCGGGUUGUUAAGUCAGUUGUGAAAGUUUGCGGCUCAACCGUAAAAUUGCAGUUGAUACUGGCAUCCUUGAGUACAGUAGAGGUAGACGGAAUUCGUGGUGUAGCGGUGAAAUGCGUAGAUAUCAGGAAGAACUCCGAGUGCGAAGGCAGCCUGCUGGACUGUAACUGACGCUGAUGCGCGAAAGUGUGGGUAUCAAACAGGAUUAGAUACCCGAGUAGUC